RNAcentral lists this ribosomal RNA (326 nucleotides) under Ancylomarina sp. 16SWW S1-10-2. RNAcentral describes it as "partial 16S ribosomal RNA". The record is from RNAcentral. Lineage: Bacteria; Pseudomonadati; Bacteroidota; Bacteroidia; Marinilabiliales; Marinifilaceae.
UUAAAUUGAAGAGUUUGAUCAUGGCUCAGAUUGAACGCUGGCGGCAGGCYUAACACAUGCAAGUCGAGCGGCAGCGGGMAAGUAGCUUGCUACUUUUGCCGGCGAGCGGCGGACGGGUGAGUAAYGCSUGGGAAWYURCCYAGGMGWGGGGGAYAACAGUUGGAAACGAMUGCUAAUACCGCAUACGCCCUACGGGGGAAAGCAGGGGAYCUUCGGRCCUUGCGCUAAUAGAUGAGCCUAAGUCAGAUUAGCUAGWUGGUGGGGUAAAGGCCUACCAUGGCGACGAUCUAUAGCUGGUCUGAGAGGAUGAUCAGCCACACUGGGAC